This 434-nucleotide ribosomal RNA is filed under the name uncultured bacterium. RNAcentral describes it as "partial 16S ribosomal RNA". It matches the Rfam family "Bacterial small subunit ribosomal RNA", at positions 29 to 507 of the family's 1533-position model. The record is from RNAcentral.
AGCGAACGCUGGCGGCAGGCCUAACACAUGCAAGUCGAACGAACCUUUCGGGGUUAGUGGCUGACGGGUGAGUAACACGUGGGAACGUUCCUUUAGGUUCGGAAUAACUCAUGGAAACUUGUGCUAAUACCGAAUGUGCCCUUCGGGGGAAAGAUUUAUCGCCUGUAGAGCGGCCCGCGUCUUAUUAGCUAGUUGGUUGAGGUAAUGGCGCACCAAGGCGACGAUCAGUAGCGGGUCUGAGAGGAUGAUCAGCCACAUUGGGACUGAGACACGGCCCAGACUACUACGGGAGGCAGCAGUGGGGAAUCUUGCGCAAUGGGCGAAAGCCUGACGGAGCCAUGCCGCGUGAAUGAUGAAGGUCUUAGGAUUGUAAAAUUCUUUAACAGGGGACGAUAAUGACGGUACCCGGAGAAGAAGCCCCGGCUAACUUCGUG